AUGCCAAUCACGUAUGUCCGGGAGUCAGACAGUGAGUGAUAAGAUCCAUUGUCGAAAGGGGAACAGCCCAGAUCGUCAGUUAAGGUCCCUAAGUGUGUGUUAAGUGGAAAAGGAUGUGGAGUUGCAUAGACAACUAGGAUGUUGGCUCAGAAGCAGCCACCAUUUAAAGAGUGCGUAAUAGCUCACUAGUCGAGUGAUUCUGCGCCGAAAAUGUACCGGGGCUAAACACACCACCGAAACUACGGGUGCCACGUAAGUGGCGCGAUAGGAGAGCGUUCUAAGGGCGAUGAAGUCAGACCGUGAGGACUGGUGGAGCGCUUAGAAGUGAGAAUGCCGGUAUGAGUAGCGAAAGACAGGUGAGAAUCCUGUCCACCGUAUGACUAAGGUUUCCUGGGGAAGGCUCGUCCUCCCAGGGUUAGUCGGGACCUAAGGCGAGGCCGAAAGGCGUAGUCGAUGGAUAACAGGUUGAGAUUCCUGUACCAGGUGAACAUGUUUGAACGAUGGAGGGACGCAGAAGGCUAACGGAUCCCAGCUGCUGGAUAUGCUGGGUUAAAUAAUAAGUCUUAGAUCGAGUUAAAUGCUUUAUCUUUUAAGGACAAGUUAUGAUGAGGACCGAAAUAAAGUAGGGAAGUCCGUGAUGUCACGCUGCCGAGAAAAGCUUCUAGUUAGUGUUUACCUGCCCGUACCGCAAACCGACACAGGUAGUCGAGGAGAGCAUCCUAAGGUGAGCGAGUGAACUCUCGUUAAGGAACUCGGCAAAAUGACCCCGUAACUUCGGGAGAAGGGGUGCUCAGCGAAAGCUGAGCCGCAGUGAAUAGGCCCAGGCGACUGUUUAUCAAAAACACAGGUUUCUGCAAAAUCGUAAGAUGACGUAUAGGGGCUGACGCCUGCCCGGUGCUGGAAGGUUAAAAGGAGUGCUUAGUUUCGGCGAAGGUACGAAUUGAAGCCCCAGUAAACGGCGGCCGUAACUAUAACGGUCCUAAGGUAGCGAAAUUCCUUGUCGGGUAAGUUCCGACCCGCACGAAAGGCGUAACGAUCUGGGCACUGUCUCAACGAGAGACUCGGUGAAAUUUAAAUACCCGUGAAGAUGCGGGUUACCCGCGACAGGACGGAAAGACCCCAUGGAGCUUUACUGUAGCUUGAUAUUGAGUGUUUGUGCAGCUUGUACAGCAUAGGUAGGAGCCGUUGAUACCGGGACGCUAGUUUCGGUGGAGGCAUCAUUGGGAUACUACCCUCGUUGUAUGACCACUCUAACUCGCACCACUAAGCGUGGUGGAAGACAGUGUCUGGCAGGCAGUUUGACUGGGGCGGUCGCCUCCUAAAAGGUAACGGAGGCGCCCAAAGGUUCCCUCAGAAUGGUUGGAAAUCAUUCGCAGAGUGUAAAGGCACAAGGG
Molecule: ribosomal RNA, 1394 nt
Filed under: Weissella cibaria
Lineage: Bacteria; Bacillati; Bacillota; Bacilli; Lactobacillales; Lactobacillaceae
Description: partial 23S ribosomal RNA
Rfam family: Bacterial large subunit ribosomal RNA
Source: RNAcentral